Long non-coding RNA from Hyaena hyaena (striped hyena), 416 nucleotides. RefSeq lists it as uncharacterized. The record is from RefSeq and is a predicted model, not a curated record. NCBI's taxonomy places the organism in Eukaryota, Metazoa, Chordata, Mammalia, Carnivora, Hyaenidae. The transcript is spliced from 3 exons.
GUCGUCGUCGGUCUCGCUGUAGGCUUCGUGCAGGCCUCUCCGGGGGCCCGGCCCGCGCGGCCGUGCCGGGCCGUGUGCCAGGUCUGGCCUGUCAUCACCCGCCUGGACCCGGAGAUUCGCCUCCUCCAGGGUCUCCCUGCUCCAGCCCUUACCGGCUAUGGCCACCAGAGGGCGCCAGUGAUCACCUGACUGAGGGAGAGAGACACCAGGGGCCACACGCACAGAGGAGCCGCCACGUGAGCGAGAAGGUGACCAUCUGCAAGCCCAGGAGAAAGGCCUCAGCAGGAAUCAGCCCUGCUGGCACCUUGAUCUUGAACCUCCAGUCUGCAGACCGGGUGAGAAGAAGUGUCUAUUGCUUAAGCCGCCCGGCCUCUGGCACUUCGUGACACAUCGGAGCAGAUGACAUCUGACCUGGG